Molecule: long non-coding RNA, 5207 nt
Filed under: Limulus polyphemus (Atlantic horseshoe crab)
Lineage: Eukaryota; Metazoa; Arthropoda; Merostomata; Xiphosura; Limulidae
Description: uncharacterized LOC111087216, transcript variant X1
Source: RNAcentral
AUUUUGUUAGUCUUACGUUGAUUUGUUAUAUUUUCUCAAAUUUGUGCUUUAAAGUAAACAGAAGAACAUCGAAAAAUACUGCAUAUAACAGAAGAAAGUUGAUACAUGUAUAUCAUGAAAUUAUGUAUUUUCAUACAAACUUGCAAGUGAAAAUAUAGGUAGGCCUGAGAAGAUCAAUCAAAUUGGUGAGUCAAAGUGUAUGGCAGAACAAGGUGGUUGUUACAGGCUGUAUGCUGUAAAGAUAUGGAGGCAUUGAAGAGCCUGCAUUGCACAGAGGUGCAUAUGUUGCACAGACUGUAGAAUCUGAAUUUUAAAGUAUAUUCCAAUCAGUGUUUGCAGCUGCUGUUGAAUCAGUUUCUGAGAUAUCCUAUAGACAAUUUGCAUAAACUAGCAGUGAUAGAGAAAUCUCUAUGCAAGCAAUCUGCAAUUGAUAUAGAUGAAAUGAUUGACAUUUAUCAAAAUGACCUGGUGCCAUUAGAAUCAAAGAACUGUGUGAAAUAUGAAAUUGAACAUGUGCACAGUGUCAUCGGCAAGAACUUUCCAGAUUCAUCAGAGAUUUCCGUACAUUAUUUUUGUGAAGCAGUGUGCAACAAUCCUGUGCUGAAGGAUGUUUGUCCAUCAGUUUUAACCAUGUUCAAAAUCUAUAUGGUGGCUCCAGUGACUACAUGUACUGCUGAAAAGUUACUUGCCCCUCACCAUCUCACAGUCUCGUGUGAAUCAUUUUGUUUGUCUCUAUAUCUUGAAGAACGAUGUGGAUGAAUUGCAUCUACCAAAAUUUAUUAACAACUUUAUUAGUCAUAGUACAGAAAUUUGAAUUGCAGUGAUGAGCCAAAUGACCCUUUUGUUAUCCAUUGAAAUAGAAUAUUUUUCCUUAAUAUGUUUAUUUUAAAUGUUUUGUUUUGAUACAUAUCUAUCAGCCAGCAAUUCAUGAGCUAUAGCUUACAGGAGCCAGCUUUUUGAUUUAUUGAAGAUGUAACCAAACUAUUAGAAGACAGAAAAUCAAGAUUCGUUUACUUCAUAAAGUAUCAUCAACACUUUUCUUAUAGUAUUCAUAUACUUUAUCAAAAUUUCAUGCCAUAUUUUGCUGUUAAGUUAAUUUUUUAUAUUCAGUUUUUUAAUGUUCUGUAAGCUCCCUAUUUUUUGUGAUCAAGCUGAUGAAAAACUUUUGAUACAAUCAUGUUUGAUGAACAUCAGUUACAAUAUUUUAAAGGAUUUGUAAGGCAUGAGAUGUUCAGUCCUAUUCAUUAAUGUAAUCUAAAAUAUAUGUUCAUAAGUUAUUUCCAGAACUUUGGGGAACACCUGUCGUAUUUUCUAAAAGACACCAUUAGCUCUGAUGUUUUGAUAGUGGAUUGUUGAUCAAUAUGUGUACGAGUAUUUUAUAGGUUUUGGUUCUUUAACUGUGAGGGAAAUUCAUUAACAUUCUCAGGCCGAGCUGAAUUAUUUGUUGGUGAAAGUGGUCUUCUGUCACCUUAUCUUAAUUUCUUGUUAUUCUAUCUUUGUUACUUGUAUUAGAAUUUUCUUCAAAUGUUUUUUAGCAUCAGUUAACUGAUGGGAUUAUGUAUGAAUAUUGUUGUACAUCCAAAAUACAGCUAGAAAUACCUAAGUCUAAUGUCAUCAGCAAAGUACUACUAAUGUAUUUGUCAAUAUUAGUAAUGUAAAUAAGGAAAAGCAGGCCCAUGUACUGACCCAUGACACACUAUUUGUAAUGCAAGCCCAAUUUGACCAGGCUCCAUUAAUAACAAAUAUUAGCUCUUUUUCUCAUGCUGCCAUCCUAUAAUCCAGUAAACUAAGUUUUUCACCAACCCCUGCUAAUUGAAUUAGAGAUUUUUUCAAAUGUUCUUUCAGCAUCAAUGUACUAAACUGAUUAUGUAUGAAACUGUGACUUUUAGUUACUUAAUGAGUAGAUGGUAUGUAAUUUAUUUUUAAAACUUGCAUGAAUAUUUAUGCCAACUCGUUAAUGAUGAGUUCUCAUCAUAAGGAAUGUAGUUGUGGGUAUGUAUGUAUAUUCAUGUAUACAUAUCUGAGAAAGAUGCACUAUGAACAGUAAUGAGUUCACUAAGAAAAUCUUGGUGCCAGUCACAUAUAACCAUUUGUACAUUUUAUGAUUAAUGUCAGACAUGGCAUAAUCUAGUAUCAAAUAAACACCCAUUGAAAAUCCAUUUAAAACAAUAUUUUUGUGAUGGAAAUAGUUAUAUACUGUAAUAUAUACACUCAUAUGUUUUGCAUGAAAUGUUCCUCCUCUUUCCCUUCCCUCUAAAAUGUUAUUCUGUAGUAUGUAAUGAAAAGAAAAUCAUGUAUUAUAUCAAAAUAUCUGAAUAAAGUAAAAUGUAUCUUAUGUAUUCAGCAGUAAAAAACAAAACAAAUUUUGAACUGCAAAAUUUUGUACGAGAGUGUCUUCUAUUUAUGAUUUUAAGAAGUGUUUUACUGGUUAACAAUUUUUAAUAUAGAAAAAUCAUUCAUAUUUCACUUGAAGGAAUGUUACAUUUUGUCUGAGGUGUCUAUUUAACUUACUUUUGUGUCUUCCUAUGGCUUGUUUUCAUCAGUAUCUAUUGAAUUUGUGGUGUAUAUGUACUCUUUGAAGAAAUAAAUAUCUUAUGUAAAAUAAUACUGUCAGCCUAGUGUUUGUUGUUUUUAUUGCUAGUUCUGAUUAAGAGAAAUACUAUUUUUAAACUCUUGAGUUUUAGAGUAAAAUUUAUACACUGGAUUAACCACGCUAUGAUAGUAUGUAUUAAUUUUUUAAAACUGCAUGUAUGGUAUUAUUACUACCAGAUAGAUGCAGCUAGUAUACAAAACCUGUGUAUUAAAUUUUACAUAGUUGUGCUUAAACCGAUAUAGUAUUACUAUCAUGGAAAUACAGAGAAGAUUAAUCUUUGACAAACUUUACAUAAAUGAAUAUAAAUUGUGAACAUAUUGAAAUGCCAGAUACACCAUUUUGUCACACCUGCAUAUCUUGCAUAUUAUUGAAACUGAACUGGUGUACAUGUAUAUAAACUCCAAAUGACACAUGGAAUCUAAUUUCAUGCAUGUCUGUAGUCGUACAAUCAUUGGUUAUCAAGUGUGGGUCUAACAGUGUGUAUAAGUUUAACAUUUUGUGUUCACAAACUAAUGUUAAAAGUAAUUGUAUCUGUUUUGAAAGGAGGAACGAGGUUGCUCUAUUUAUUUGCAGCCAUCUGUGGCUUUAUUGCAAGUGUGUACUGUAUCUGUGACCUGAGGCAACUGUAGUCGUGGUGUUUUGUUUCCAACAGGGUCUGAAAAUGAGUAUGAAGAAACUCUUGAGGGCUUGGAAGAAGGAAGAAACUCUACACAGUGCCCUCAUUGCAGGAAAACGUUUUUUAAUGCUUCAUCCCUGAGAAGACACGUCGAAAUUCAUUUUGUGCAGCGAAAGAACUAUAGAUGUCACUUGUGCCAGAAGGUGUUUUCAUGGAAAACCACAUUAAGUUCACAUAUGAAAAAGGACCAUAAAUUACGCAUGAGAUUUUAAAUUUCAUACACUUAGAUGAAAACAACAAGUGAUAUUAAUCUGUCUUUAUUCUUUGAAGUGGUUUGUAAUGGACUACAGUAGGUAUAUAAAGAAACAUUUUACUUAUUAUACAUAUUAGUGCCUGUUUCAUUUUGAAUGUUCACUUUUCUUUUUUACAUAAUUACUGUUUUUUUAUUGUGUCAUGAUGGUAAUAAAAAUAAUAACCAUUUACAACUUUGAAGCUACUUUUCUCUCCAACACAGUUUUAAGAAUGAUGAAUACUAUUAAUCAAUUGAAAUAGCACUGUUUACUAUUUGCAAGUUUGUAACAAGUUUUGUCUUAAUGCUCAGGCAUAAUCUACCUCAGUGUUUAUUGUUGUGUUUACAUAUUCUGAUGUUCUUUUUAUCUAUUAUGAUGAAAUUAUUGUUAUUAUUUUAUAAGCUCUAUGUUCUCACUCUUGUAUACUUUCUGUUCCAAAAGAAAAGGAGAACGCUUUUCCCAAAGCUAAGACCAUUUUUACUUAUCUGUAAAUUUCAUUUUUUUGUUCUUUGUAUCUGCAUACCCCAACUUGUUGAUAAACUCAAAAAUAUUUCCUUUUUUCUCCCUCCUUUUUUUAUAUUUUUGUCAGCAUGUAUUUUUCAUUUUGUUUGUCCUGGCCAAAAUAGUAGUCUAGAUUUUAAGUUGUUAUGUUUAAGGUAUGUGGUUGUUUUUUUAAUAAAUUGAAAAUACCUUAACUUUUUUACCCUACAGUUUUUUAGUCAUCUAUAAUAUUAAUAUUGUAAAUGUGACUGAAAGCUUGUCACAUGCAUUAUAUGGAGCACUCAUUUAACACUCCUAUUGAGUUAUAAAUACAGAACAAACUUUCAACCAACAUGAGGGUCCAAGUAACAUUGACUUUGUGGCUCAGUAUUCUAUGUGAGUAAGAACCAAGACAGGAUGAAAGUCAGUCACAAUGAUAUUUUUAAAUUUACUUGAUUAGUGAAACAAUUGUUUUUUUAUUUCAUUAUUGUUUUGAACUGCUAAAAAUAAUCAUGAGAAAAAGUGUUUCCAAUCCUUACUUUCAGAAUGAGUAAUUAUAAGAUCUGAGACAGGCACUUUAUCAAAAUUUCUACAGGUUUAGACAUCAUUAUUUUAAAGUGAAAUCCAGACACAUAGAGAAAAAAUCCAAGUAGCUAAGUUAAAGGCUGUUUGUGAUAGAUUUUGUUCUAACAACAAAAUUUGACCCAAGGUGGUGUGACUUAUGUUUUACUUCUACAUUAAACAUCAACAUAGUUCAGCAUCAACAGAAAGUAUCUUGUACUAGGUGAGUCGUGUGUAUGAUAUUAUAUGAUGUAGUGUUCGUGCUCUUAUAUAAGUAAGUGGCCUAAACUUUAUUCCCUGUUAGAAAGUGAACUAAAUAAAAAAAAACACGAUGUAUGUUUGAAAGUACAGUUACUUAUACUUGACGAAAGUGUGUGGACUAUGAUAUACUCUUGAAGGUGGUUUGAUGUUUUAGGUUAUUUUUAUUAUAAUUCAUCCAUAAGGAUUACAGUUUUUCCUAUUAAAUUUGUUUGUACACAUGUACUGUUUUCUCAGAUUUGGUUCAUUGAAAUGUCGAUGUAAUUUAAUUAAAGCAACCAGGCUGUUACCAGUAGAUGUAGACAUUUUGGUGUCAUAUGACUGGAUACUCCAAAUUUAUUUUCUGUAUAAUACAAAACCUGCAGGUUGUUUUUGAUUCAUCUGAAUUUUUAAUAUUGUUUUUUAAAGU